AGAGCUCGAGUUGAUUGAAAGAGAGGCAAUGGUGGUAUUACAUAAGGUUGGUGUUGAAAAACCUAAGUUGCAUAAUCAUUUUAUAGAAGACAACAAAGUAAAGGCAUUCUUACUAAAGAAGAUCAAAGCGAUGGUGUUGCAAAAAAUUGAAGAUGGUGUAGUAGCAAUGAGGGUAGGACUUUGCUUAGAAAUUGACAACCAUUGUAGAUCAACCGUGAUUUAUCAUGUUGUUGUAAGAUGGUAGUUGAUUUUUGAUGAUUAUUAGACAAUAAAUUUAGAGAAAUUCUUAUGCAUAAUUUUUGAUGUGAUGAUAGGAAAUUGUAGUAUUGUGAUAAAUAUUUUAAUAAGGUUAUUUCUUUACUAAAGAAUGUGAUGCACGUGAAAACUUUCAGGAGCUAAUUG
Molecule: long non-coding RNA, 402 nt
Filed under: Physcomitrium patens
Lineage: Eukaryota; Viridiplantae; Streptophyta; Bryopsida; Funariales; Funariaceae
Description: long non-coding RNA (PPAT_LNC010963)
Source: RNAcentral